RNAcentral lists this unclassified non-coding RNA (536 nucleotides) under Kordia sp. RNAcentral's name for it is "partial 16S-23S ribosomal RNA intergenic spacer". The stretch from base 92 to 165 matches the Rfam family "tRNA". Lineage: Bacteria; Pseudomonadati; Bacteroidota; Flavobacteriia; Flavobacteriales; Flavobacteriaceae. The record is from RNAcentral.
AGAGAGACGACGAAGAAUUAUAGAAAAUAAUCGAGAGAUUGUUUUUGCUUAGCUGUUAAUUAAAAAAUAGAACGAAAAGAUACAAGCAUCGAGUCUCAUAGCUCAGCUGGUUAGAGCGCUACACUGAUAAUGUAGAGGUCGGCAGUUCGAGUCUGCCUGAGACUACAAUUUUAAUUAGGGAUUAAUAAUUUAAAAUUCAUAAUUAAAGGGAAGUAUUGAAAAAAGGAAAUUCUAGAGGUUGGGAUUCAACAUUCGUAAUUCUGAAUUCGACAUUCUGAAUUUCGUAUGGGGGAUUAGCUCAGCUGGCUAGAGCGCCUGCCUUGCACGCAGGAGGUCAUCGGUUCGACUCCGAUAUUCUCCACAAGGCAAUGCCUUGAGAUGAUAGAUUUCAGGUAUUGUAAAGAAUAGUUACUGAUUAUAAUCAGUGGCGAUUCGCCACAAGUUCAUUGACAUAUUGAGAUAAAAAGAGAAACGAGAAUUAAGAAAUUAAUGAAUCGAGAGAAAAAAUAUUAAAUAAUAAAGAGCAAAAAAGUACA